AUGGCGUCGUCGGGCGGGGACGAGUCGCCGUCGCCGGCCAAGCCGGUGCUCCUGCACGGGGACCUCGACCUCUGGGUCGUCGAGGCGCGGCUGCUGCCCAACAUGGACAUGUUCUCCGAGCACAUCCGCCGCUGCUUCGCCUCCUGCGGCACCGCCUCCUCCUGCGCGCCCAGGCAGCCCCCGCCCAACAGCCGCGGCGUCGGGGAGGCCGGCAGCCGCCGCCACCACCACCGCAGGAUCAUCACCAGCGACCCCUACGUCACGCUCUCCGUCGCCGGCGCCGUCGUCGCGCGCACCGCCGUCAUCCCCAACAGCCAGGAGCCGCGCUGGGACGAGCAGUUCUUCGUGCCGCUCGCGCACCGCGCCACCCUGCUCGACUUCCAGGUCAAGGACAACGACACCUUCGGCGCGCAGCUCAUCGGCACCGCCUCCGUCCCCGCCGAACGGGUCGUCGCCGCCGUCGACGAGGUCGAGGAGUGGGUCCCCAUCGUCGGCACCAGCGGCAAGACCUACAAGCCCCGCACCGCGCUCUUCAUCCGCUACCGCUUCCGCCCCUUCGCCGCCAACCCGGUGUACCGCCGCGGCAUCCCCGGGGACCCCGACCAGCAGGGCGUCAAGGACUCCUACUUCCCGCUCCGCCACGGCGGAAAAGUCACGCUCUACCAGGACGCGCACGUCAACGAGGGGGACCUGCCGGACGUCCAGCUCGAGCGGGGGAAGAAGUUCGAGCACAACCAGUGCUGGGAGGACAUCUGCCACGCCAUACUCGAGGCGCACCAUAUGAUCUACAUCGUCGGCUGGUCGAUCUACGACAAGGUCAAGCUGGUGCGCGAGCCGUCCUCGUCCAGGACGCUCCCGGAGGGCGGCGAGCUCACGCUCGGAGAGCUGCUCAAGUUCAAGUCGCAGGAGGGCGUGAGAGUGUGCCUGCUCGUCUGGGACGACAAGACGUCUCAUGACAAGCUCUUCAUCAAAACGGGUGGUGUGAUGGGAACGCAUGAUGAAGAAACUAGAAAGUUUUUCAAGCAUUCCUCAGUCAUCUGCGUUCUUUCACCUCGAUAUGCCAGCAGUAAGCUGAGCAUUUUCAAACAACAGGUUGUUGGGACAUUGUUUACACACCACCAAAAAUGUGUGCUGGUUGAUACACAAGCUUCGGGAAACAAGCGGAAAGUUACUGCUUUCAUUGGGGGCCUAGAUCUUUGUGAUGGGCGUUAUGAUACUCCUCAACAUAGGCUUUUUAAAGACCUUGACACAGUAUUUGAAAAUGAUUUCCAUAACCCAACAUUUUCGGCAGGCGCAAAAGGACCGAGACAACCAUGGCAUGACUUGCACUGUAAGCUUGAUGGACCAGCUGCCUAUGAUGUCUUGAAGAAUUUUGAACAACGCUGGAGAAAGGCAUCCAAAUUCCGUGAUCGAUUUAGGAAAGUAUCUCGCUGGAAAGAUGAUGCCCUGAUAAAGCUGGAGCGUAUCUCGUGGAUACUUAGUCCUUCACCUAAUGUUCCAAAUGAUCAUGUUAGUUUGCGGGUUUCAAAAGAAGAAGAUCCUGAAAAUUGGCAUGUUCAGGUAUUCCGGUCAAUUGACUCGGGCUCUCUAAAAGGAUUUCCUAGUGAUUGCAAAGAGGCUUCAAAGCAGAAUCUUGUGUGCCGAAAGAACCUCAUAAUUGAUAAGAGCAUUCACACAGCAUAUGUCCGGGCAAUCAGAUCAGCGCAACAUUUCAUUUAUAUAGAAAAUCAGUAUUUUCUUGGUUCUUCGUACGAGUGGCCAUCCUAUGUGAAUUCAGGUGCUGACAAUCUGAUACCAAUGGAAUUGGCCCUCAAAAUUGCAACCAAGAUUAGAGCUGGCGAACGGUUUGCAGUUUAUAUAGUCAUACCAAUGUGGCCUGAAGGAGUCCCUACCUCGGCCUCUGUGCAAGAAAUUCUUUUCUUUCAGGCUCAGACAAUGGAGAUGAUGUAUGGAGUAAUCGCACGAGAGCUCAAGGCCAUGAAUAUUGAGGAUGCACACCUUCACGAUUACUUGAACUUUUACUGUCUAGGCAAUCGGGAAGAACCGUCAACAGAUGGUAGCCCUGGGUCAGAUAAAUCUACAGAUAAAAGUGCAGCGGGCCUGGCUAGAAAACAUCGGCGGUUCAUGAUCUAUGUUCAUGCAAAAGGGAUGAUUGUAGACGAUGAAUACGUCAUUUUGGGCUCGGCAAACAUCAAUCAGAGAUCCUUGGCUGGCUCGAGAGAUACCGAAAUCGCAAUGGGUGCCUACCAGCCUCAUCAUGCAUGGUCUUCGAAGAAGGGUCAUCCUCACGGCCAGGUAUAUGGGUAUAGGAGCUCCCUCUGGGCUGAACACCUUGGUAUGGUUGAUGACCACUUCAAGGAACCUUCUAGCCUGGACUGUGUAAGAUUAGUGAACCAAAUAGCCGAAGAAAACUGGGAAAGAUUCGCGUCAGAAGAGAUGCAAACGUUGCAAGGGCACCUCCUCAGAUACCCGGUGAAGGUAGAGCCCGAUGGUAAGAUCGUCCCGCUGCCCGACCAAGAAUGCUUCCCCGACGUUGGCGGCAAGAUCUGCGGCGCUCCGACCUCGCUUCCUGAUUCGCUGACGAUGUAG
Molecule: ribosomal RNA, 2589 nt
Filed under: Triticum aestivum (bread wheat)
Lineage: Eukaryota; Viridiplantae; Streptophyta; Magnoliopsida; Poales; Poaceae
Description: partial small subunit ribosomal RNA
Source: RNAcentral